This 1566-nucleotide ribosomal RNA is filed under the name Spermophilus dauricus (Daurian ground squirrel). RNAcentral describes it as "16S ribosomal RNA". It matches the Rfam family "Bacterial large subunit ribosomal RNA". The record is from RNAcentral. Lineage: Eukaryota; Metazoa; Chordata; Mammalia; Rodentia; Sciuridae.
ACUAAUGCUAGCUCAAUCUUUUCCCCUCCCAAAUAUAACUGAAUUAAUAAAUAAAACAUUUACCUAAAUAAAGUAUAGGAGAUAGAAAUUUAUAUUAGAAGCUAUAGAAAAAGUACCGUAAGGGAAAGAUGAAAGAAUGUAUUCAUAGUACCAAAAAGCAAAGAUUAACUCUUUUACCUUUUGCAUAAUGAUUUAACCAGAAAAUACUUGACAAAAAGAAUUUAAGCCAAACACCCCGAAACCAGACGAGCUACUUAUAAGCAGCUGAUAAGAGCCCAUCCGUCUAUGUCGCAAAAUAGUGGAAAGACUAAUAAGUAGAGGUGAAAAGCCUACCGAGCCUGGUGAUAGCUGGUUGUCCAGACUAGAAUUUUAGUUCUACUUAAAAUUUACCUAAAGCAUAAAUAAGCUUAAUGUAAGUUUUAAUGUUAUUCUAAAGAGGUACAGCUCUUUAGAGUCAAGGAAUAAACCUUCAUUAGAGAGUAACCCUACUAAUCCCCAUAGUUGGCCUAAAAGCAGCCAUCAAUUAAAAAAGCGUUAAAGCUUAACCUAAUAACUAAAACUUAAUACCUAACCCUUCUUUAACCUCCUAAAUCAAGACUGGACUAAUCUAUUUAUAAUAGAAGUAAUUAUGUUAAAAUAAGUAACAAGAAACUAUUCUCCCUGCAUAAGCUUAUAUCAGAUCGAAUAAUUCACUGAUAGUUAACAACCCCAUAAUAUUAAAUAAACUUAUAAAAUCAUUAUUACCAACAUUGUUAACCCAACACUGGUAUGCACACUAGGGAAAGAUUAAACAAAGUAAAAGGAACUCGGCAAACAUUAACCUCGCCUGUUUACCAAAAACAUCACCUCUAGCAUAAAUAGUAUUAGAGGCACUGCCUGCCCAGUGACAUACGUUUAACGGCCGCGGUAUCCUGACCGUGCAAAGGUAGCAUAAUCACUUGUUCUUUAAAUAAGGACUAGCAUGAAUGGCUUGACGAGGGUUUAACUGUCUCUUACUUUUAAUCAGUGAAAUUGACCCUCCCGUGAAGAGGCGGGAAUUUUCUAAUAAGACGAGAAGACCCUAUGGAGCUUAAAUUUUAUAGUCUCACAAGAUCAAUAUUAUCUAAGGAAUUAAAAUUAUUGUUUAUAGACUAGAAAUUUUGGUUGGGGUGACCUCGGAGUACAAACAAUCCUCCGAAUGAUAAUAAUCUAGACAUACAUGUCAAAAUUACAACUCAUUAAUUGACCCAAAUUAUUGACCAACGGAACAAGUUACCCUAGGGAUAACAGCGCAAUCCUACUCAAGAGUUCAUAUCGACAGUUAGGGUUUACGACCUCGAUGUUGGAUCAGGACAUCCAAAUGGUGUAACCGCUAUUAAUGGUUCGUUUGUUCAACGAUUAAAGUCCUACGUGAUCUGAGUUCAGACCGGAGAAAUCCAGGUCGGUUUCUAUCUAUUACUAUAUUUCUCCCAGUACGAAAGGACAAGAGAAAUAAGGCCAAUUACACACCUAUGCCUUAAAUUACCAAUGGAUGAAAUUAUCUUAAUCCAGUAAAAUAUUUUAAAUAUCCGCCCUAGAAAAGGGCUU